This 465-nucleotide ribosomal RNA is filed under the name uncultured bacterium. RNAcentral describes it as "partial 16S ribosomal RNA". It matches the Rfam family "Bacterial small subunit ribosomal RNA", at positions 28 to 523 of the family's 1533-position model. The record is from RNAcentral.
GAUGAACGCUGGCGGCGUGCCUAACACAUGCAAGUCGAGCGAACCCUUCGGGGUGAGCGGCGGACGGGUGAGUAACGCGUGGGUAACCUGCCCUAUACACACGGAUAACGUACCGAAAGGUACGCUAAUACGGGAUAAGUUGUUGGAUGGCAUCUUCUAACAAUCAAAGCUCCGGCGGUAUAGGAUGGACCCGCGUCUGAUUAGCUAGUUGGUGAGGUAAUGGCUCACCAAGGCGACGAUCAGUAGCCGACCUGAGAGGGUGAUCGGCCACACUGGAACUGAGACACGGUCCAGACUCCCACGGGAGGCAGCAGUGGGGAAUAUUGCACAAUGGGCGAAAGCCUGAUGCAGCAACGCCGCGUGAGCGAUGAAGGUCUUCGGAUCGUAAAGCUCAGUCCUCAAGGAAGAUAAUGACGGUACUUGAGGAGGAAGCCCCGGCUAACUACGUGCCAGCCGCCGCGGUAA